This 306-nucleotide small nuclear RNA is filed under the name Castor canadensis (American beaver). RNAcentral's name for it is "7SK RNA (ENSCCNG00000007500.1)". It matches the Rfam family "7SK RNA". Rfam says of the family: 7SK was discovered as an abundant small nuclear RNA in the mid-70s but a possible function has only recently been suggested. Two independent studies have found that 7SK RNA binds the CDK9/cyclin T complex (known as elongation factor P-TEFb). The record is from RNAcentral. Lineage: Eukaryota; Metazoa; Chordata; Mammalia; Rodentia; Castoridae.
GGAUGUGAGGGCAAUCUGGCUGUGACAUCUGUCACCCCAUUUAUAGCCAGGGUUGAUCCAGCAGGUCUGGCUAGCUUGGCAGGUGUCCCCUUCCUUCCUCUUUGCUCCCAGUGGAUUGUCCCUCCAGAAGCUGCGUGCUCUGUCAUAGAGGAUGAUGAGCAUCCCCAAUAGAGGAGGACCAUUCUUGGGUCAAGGUUAUACAAGUAGCUGGGCUCCCCUGCUAGAACCUCCAAACCAGCUCUCAAAACCAAGAGGACACUAAGUUAUCCCAUGAUGCCUCUUGUACUCUGCAUGGUGACUAUAAGU